Long non-coding RNA from Chinchilla lanigera (long-tailed chinchilla), 183 nucleotides. The record is from Ensembl. Lineage: Eukaryota; Metazoa; Chordata; Mammalia; Rodentia; Chinchillidae.
GAGAAAAACCAAAAAAAAAAAAAAAAAAAAAAAAAAAAAAAAAAAAAAAAAAAAAAAAAAAAAAAAAAAAAAAAAGAGGAGGGCGCAGGAUAAAAGCCAGAAAGACGGUGAUUCCUCUGAUGUCUUGCUAAAGGAGCCUUCCCAGCGAUUCUGGCGAAGGAGUUAAGGGUCUAGAAUAGAGGC